ACUAGGGUUAAUCAAAUAGUUUUUUAAGAAGUACAUUCAUGUAUAUAUAAGGUUUUUCAAUAUUUCCUUAGGGAUUACACAGAUGGAUUGAACAAAAGCAACAUAUUGCUGCAAGAAAGUGACACCUUUCCUAGUUUGGGAUCAAGUUAAUCCCUAUUUAAAAUAAAUAAAUAAAAGAAACACAAUUUUUAUUUGAAGUACCAGAGCAAAUUUCCCACAGGUGGGAUCAAUAAAGUUUUUCUGAUUCUGAACUGUAUUCCAAAAUAAUUUUCUCAACCUUAAAGAUUGCAGGUUAACACAGGAAGUUACCUUUCACAAUAUGCAGCUACUGAGUAGCAAUUAAGGAUGCUGUGGACAUUGGACGACAGACUAACUUAAACCAGGCAGAGCAGGAAACUGUUGGAGUUGUUGUUCCCUCUGUGGCUUGUCCUCUCUCCUCUCAGACCUGUUCAACCCUUGUGGGACAUCGGAAAACCAUGGCCAAGA
Non-coding RNA from Oryzias latipes (Japanese medaka), 486 nucleotides. The record is from RefSeq and is a predicted model, not a curated record. NCBI's taxonomy places the organism in Eukaryota, Metazoa, Chordata, Actinopteri, Beloniformes, Adrianichthyidae.